This 503-nucleotide ribosomal RNA is filed under the name uncultured bacterium. RNAcentral's name for it is "partial 16S ribosomal RNA". It matches the Rfam family "Bacterial small subunit ribosomal RNA", at positions 30 to 523 of the family's 1533-position model. The record is from RNAcentral.
AUUGAACGCUGGCGGCAGGCUCAACACAUGCAAGUCGAGCGGGGUGAUGGUGCUUGCACUAUCACUUAGCGGCGGACGGGUGAGUGAUGCUUAGGAAUCUGCCUAUUAGUGGGGGACAACAUCUCGAAAGGGAUGCUAAUACCGCAUACGUCCUACGGGAGAAAGCAGGGGAUCACUUGUGACCUUGCGCUAAUAGAUGAGCCUAAGUCGGAUUAGCUAGUUGGUGGGGUAAAGGCCUACCAAGGCGACGAUCUGUAGCGGGUCUGAGAGGAUGAUCCGCCACACUGGGACUGAGACACGGGCCAGACUCCUACGGGAGGCAGCAGUGGGGAAUAUUGGACAAUGGGGGGAACCCUGAUCCAGCCAUGCCGCGUGUGUGAAGAAGGCCUUAUGGUUGUAAAGCACUUUAAGCGAGGAGGAGGCUCUUUUGGUUAAUACCCAAGAUGAGUGGACGUUACUCGCAGAAUAAGCACCGGCUAACUCUGUGCCAGCCGCCGCUGUAA